UAUAGUUAGCCAAUAAGGGACACCGGGUGAUUAGGAGUCCAGAAUGGACAAGGCCAUGGUGGGCAAAUUAGUCAGGACAUCAGGGUACACCCUACUCUUAAUGAAAGAUGCCAGGAAUCUUUUAUAGCCACAGAGAGUCAGGACCUCGGUUUAACAUCUCAUCCGAAGGUCAACACCAUUUUUACAGCAAGGUGUCCCCCCCAUCACUGCACUGGGGCACUGGGAUCCACGCUCAGAGCACAGGGUAGAUGCGCCAUGCUGGCCUCAUCGGCUCCUCUUCCAGCAGCAAUCCAAGCUUUUCCCAGAUUUUCUCCAAUCCAGAUACUGUCGGGGCCCAAACAUGGACGACCUGUUCUGAAGUGCAUGUGCUUUGGCUACUGGAGUGGAAGGAGAUAAAGAGCAUUCACUUGUUUUGUGAUUGUCUUGAGAUUGGUCGUGUACACUGGAAAGGAUGUUGGUAAGGAACAAAAAGAAAAUCCUUUAUUUGAACCCGAGGGUGUGUUGGGUGACAUUAUGUCUGAGAGGUUCAGGGCACAGUGGCACCCCCUUGUGGUUACAACAUGAACAUCGGUAACUUUGUAGAAGUUUCCACUGCUCUAAUUUUUUGCAUGUAUCACGUCGUGAGCUUUCGAUUGAGACAAAUGGUCAGGGUCCUAGCUCCAGUUGUUCACGAGUAAUUGCGUGCCAGACACACACGACCCUUAGCGCUUUACAUAAGGAGAUUGUCCUGUCUGUAUGGUUGUAUGUGACAAAUGAAAUUUGAUUUAAUUUUGACAGGAAACAUUUUGUUGUGACUAUUGCAGCUAAAGAAAGGGGCUGCAACCAAACUAUGGGGGCAAUUACUUUUUCACAUAGGUGAAUAUGGAGGAAAUGGAAAACUUGAAUAAAGGAAGUCCUGAUUAAAAACAAAACCCUAUUGUGUGUUGCCAUUCUCUAAGGUGGCAUUUUGUCAUUCGUUGUGUAGAAUUAGUGGAUGUUGUCCAUUCAUUUUCUGCUGCUUAUCCAGGUGUGGGUCGUGGGGGCAGCGCUCUUUCCUGCCAACUCCUUCAACUCCUCCAUGGGGAUUUACCAAGGUGUUCCCAGGCUGGUUGAGCGAUGUAAUCUUUCCAGUGUGUCCUGGGUCUACCACAAGAUCUCUCCUCCCUUUGGUUGGACAUGCCAAAAACAUCUCCAUAUUGAGGUGUCCAGGAGGCAUCCUAACCUCAACUGGCUCUCUUCGGUGUGGAGAAGCAGCGAAUGUCUUGCACUCCUCAUUAUUAACUCUAAGGCUGAGCCCAUACACCCUGUGGAGGAAGCUCAUUUCUUCCACUUGGGUCCGUGAUCUUUUCCUUUUGUUCGACACAAAGCUUGUAACCCACAGGUGAGGACAGGGACGUAAGAUCGAUGGGUAAAUCCAGACCUUUGCCUAUCCCCUCAGCUCUCUCUUCACCACAAAUGACUGGAUGUUGUUCAGAUCCACCAAUCGAUCUUCCGCUCCCUUCUUCCCGCACUUGUGAGCAAGACCCCCAGAUAUUUAUACUCCUUCGCAUGAGGUAGCACCUCCUCUGCAAACUGGAGCAGUCCAUCCUCUCCCUCAUUAAAACCCUGACCUCAGACUUGGAGGUGCUGAUCCUCCUCCCAGCCACUUUACACAGUUGGCACAUCUUGAGGUCGCAGCCUGAUGAAGCCAGCCGGAGCACGUCAUCUGUAAAAAGCAGAGAUGUUAUCCGUUAUCCCGAGGUCACCAAGCUGGACACCCAGCACUUCGUGGCUGUGCCUAGAAGUUGCAUAUUGGGAAAGGGCGGGGGGUGAAUACUUUUUCACAGCACUGUCCUCGUUUUCCUGUUUCUGAGUGAGUCACUGGGGUAAAUGAAUCAGCGAUCUUGUGGUUUUACAUGACAGCGCGCGAGCCACUGGGCCACAGUCCACGCCAGGCAUGUGACCGUAAGUGGGGAAGAUCGGUGAGGGCAGCCAAAGGCGCCAUCGGCCUGUCGUACAUUUUGGCUAAAAAUACAAGAGUGCAGCUUUGCAGGCUUCUGAGGAAACGCUCCAUCUGAGGGAGGGCCACGUCUGGUCUAACCUCAGACCUAAAAAGCAGAUGGGAUGGGAAGUGCGAUGGGAUGAUGUCGCAACCGGCAGCAGUCAUGCGUUCUUAGUAAAAAUGUCGAGGCCAGCACAUCUAGGACUGUCACUUGUCACGUUAUCAUAGCCACUCAUAUCUCUAAAGAUGUCCAAAUGUCCGCUUCAACAAGAUGACUACGUGCUUUGCUCCAAACUCCCACGAGCCUGAUGAAAUCUGUUGGAUUUGUUUCAUUGAGAGCUUUAAGAACGUUUAACUCCUGUAAAUCAUCGUAUCUUCUUUGCUUUGUCUUUUUAGGGCAUGGGACCCUUGGACCAAUUUGAAGCGGCAUGCUUGACCAUCAUUCAGACCCUGCCACUUACGGUCCACCAUGACUGCGUUUUCUUCAACAAGUGUUUCACGUCUGUGAAAAAAGACAAGCAGCAACUUUGAUCUUCUUGGGACCUCUUUUCCAGGU
Polypterus senegalus (gray bichir) is the source of this 2516-nucleotide long non-coding RNA. RefSeq lists it as uncharacterized. The record is from RefSeq and is a predicted model, not a curated record. NCBI's taxonomy places the organism in Eukaryota, Metazoa, Chordata, Cladistia, Polypteriformes, Polypteridae. The transcript is spliced from 2 exons.